AGAACGAACGCUGGCGGCGUGGAUAAGACAUGCAAGUCGAACGGGAUUACUUUUGUAGCAAUACAGAAGUAAUUCAGUGGCGAACGGGUGCGUAACACGUGGGCAAUCUGCCGAAAAGUGGGGGAUAGCUCGCCAAAAGGCGAAUUAAUACCGCAUGUGGUGAGGGACGACAUCUUCCUGAAUCCAAAGCCGGGGCAACCUGGCGCUUUUUUGAGGAGCCCGCGGCCUAUCAGCUAGUUGGUGAGGUAACGGCUCACCAAGGCUUUGACGGGUAGCUGGUCUGAGAGGACGACCAGUCACACUGGAACUGAGACACGGUCCAGACACCUACGGGUGCAGCAGUCGAGAAUUUUCUCAAUGGGGGAAACCCUGAAGGAGCGACGCCGCGUGGAGGAUGAAGGCUUUCGGGUUGUAAACUCCUGUCAUUCGAGAACAAGGUGACGAGUAUUAACUGUACUCGCAUUGAUAGUAUCAAGAAGAGGAAGGACGGACUUAACUC
RNAcentral lists this ribosomal RNA (499 nucleotides) under uncultured soil bacterium. Its description in RNAcentral is "bacterial SSU rRNA". It matches the Rfam family "Bacterial small subunit ribosomal RNA", at positions 26 to 504 of the family's 1533-position model. The record is from RNAcentral.